RNAcentral lists this ribosomal RNA (429 nucleotides) under Bacteroidota bacterium. RNAcentral's name for it is "Bacteroidetes bacterium partial 16S ribosomal RNA". It matches the Rfam family "Bacterial small subunit ribosomal RNA", at positions 355 to 776 of the family's 1533-position model. The record is from RNAcentral. Lineage: Bacteria; Pseudomonadati; Bacteroidota.
UAGGGAAUCUUCCGCAAUGGACGCAAGUCUGACGGAGCAACGCCGCGUGAGUGAAGAAGGAUUUCGGUUCGUAAAACUCUGUUGUUAGAGAAGAACAGCGCAUAGAGUAACUGUUAUGCGUGUGACGGUAUCUAACCAGAAAGCCACGGCUAACUACGUGCCAGCAGCCGCGGUAAUACGUAGGUGGCAAGCGUUGUCCGGAUUUAUUGGGCGUAAAGCGAGCGCAGGCGGUCAAUUAAGUCUGAUGUGAAAGCCCCCGGCUCAACCGGGGAGGGUCAUUGGAAACUGGUUGACUUGAGUGCAGAAGAGGAGAGUGGAAUUCCAUGUGUAGCGGUGAAAUGCGUAGAUAUAUGGUGGAACACCAGUGGCGAAGGCGACUCUCUGGUCUGUAACUGACGCUGAGGCUCGAAAGCGUGGGUAGCAAACAGG